Molecule: ribosomal RNA, 301 nt
Filed under: uncultured bacterium
Lineage: Bacteria
Description: partial 16S ribosomal RNA
Rfam family: Bacterial small subunit ribosomal RNA
Source: RNAcentral
CAGCAGCCGCGGUAAAACGGAGGGUGCAAGCGUUAAUCGGAAUUACUGGGCGUAAAGCGUGCGUAGGUGGUGGUUUAAGUCCGUUGUGAAAGCCCUGGGCUCAACCUGGGAAUUGCAGUGGAUACUGGGUCACUAGAGUGUGGUAGAGGAUAGUGGAAUUUCCGGUGUAGCAGUGAAAUGCGUAGAGAUCGGAAGGAACAUCUGUGGCGAAGGCGACUAUCUGGGCCAACACUGACACUGAGGCACGAAAGCGUGGGGAGCAAACAGGAUUAGAUACCCGUGUAGUCCCUGUCUCUUAUAC